RNAcentral lists this long non-coding RNA (2212 nucleotides) under Panax ginseng (ginseng). Its description in RNAcentral is "long non-coding RNA (PGIN_LNC004411)". The record is from RNAcentral. Lineage: Eukaryota; Viridiplantae; Streptophyta; Magnoliopsida; Apiales; Araliaceae.
GAAAAUUCAAGAUAAAUAAUAAUAAUUAUUACGAGCUUACGAAAAAUAUUUUGACUGAUAAUAAAGUAUCUGAGAUAAUUGUUAAGUGUUAAGUCAGAGUUUAAUUGAACUUAGAUUCGAUAAAAGUCCGACUAGACCGUCGGGACGUUAGAACUUUGUCUAACUCAAGUCAGACUGAAAUAGUUUGACCUGAUACUGAGUCUUCUGUGUGUUAUAGACUGAUAGGGUUAUGUGUUAUGUGUAAUGUGUUUAGGUUAUUAUAUAAAUUGUGAUUAUAUUAUUCUAACUUAGCAAUCGAUAUUAUUUAUAUAUUAGGUUCGGAUAAAGCGUUAUAAAUUGCGUAGCGAUAAUCAACGGUUUAGGCAAGUUUGUUUUUAUUUAACUCUAUUAAGAGUUAUUUUAUUCAGAUAAGCUUAUGGUUAAUCAUUGCUGGUUGCCAUGAAUUGUACUCUGUACAUAUUGCAUGUAUAAGUCAGGUAUGAAAGACUGAUCACCUUCAUUACCAGUUGGUUCAGAUAUAUUUGUUCAUGUAUAAUACUUGUUCAGUCAUAAAUUUGUUCCUGCUAGUUCACAAUUAUAUUGUUGAAUUAUAGCCAACCAAUUAUUCAAAUCAUUUCAAUCAUGAUAUAUCGUUAUAUUGUUGAACUUAAACUUGCUGGGCAACUUUUAUGCUCUCCCUUGCUAUAUCAUGAUAAAACAUUGCAGAUUAAGACGAACGCGUCGGAUACAAGAAAAGGUUAAAGACAGUUCCAGCGUAAAGUUAUUGUGUGCGAUUAGAUUUGUAAUAGUUGUAUAAUAAUAAUGUUAUGUGUUAGAAAAGUUAUGAUUUGUGUAUAAGUUAAGAUUACUCGACCUUGGGGAAAAGUGUGUAAGUUCAAUGUAUAAACAAUUUAUAUUUAUAUCUUUCGCAAAUAGUAAUAGUUGUAUAGAAUGAUCGAACCGGAUCCGCGGUGAUUCGAGACCUCGGAUUCGGGGCCCUCACAGUUGGUAUCAAAGCUGUAGGUUAUGAACCUUAGGUAGGAAUGCCUGAGACUAAUAACCACAGUGAUUAGGAUAAGUACUAACUCAAAUACAGUUAGUUGGUCGGUAAGAUUCAAAGAUGAAUCUCGGCGAGUUAUAAGAUAUAGAGUUCCCUAACUCUGAUAAUAAAGUUGAACAGUAGUGAGAAAUAGAUAGAGUCUAAAACACUAAAAGUACAGUGAUAGGAGAUCGUAAAAUAAAACGAUCAAGACAUAGAAAUGAAUUGUAAUAUAUACGAUGAGAUCACUUUGUGAUCGGAUAAGGUUAUAGUAUGAAGAAAAAUCAAGCGAAUGAUUGAAAAAUUUACAGCAACGAUUGCUGUGUCAGUUGUAAUAUGAAUUGGUACAAAUUCAAAAAAGGAUUAUGAAUACGAGUUAAAUGAAAUUCGUAUUUGAAGGGAGUUAGUGUUAGGUGGGGAUUCAAUUGAGGAUUCAUGUCGGCAGCUAAGUUGUAUGAUUCUUCGUAUGGGAGCUGAAUUGUACAUGGUGUAAAAACCACUUAGUUUCUGGCAAUGAUAAUCAUUGAAAUGUUUGGGUCGCGCUAUUUGCUAUAUGCGUGUUAAGAGGGUGAUUCAUUUCUCAUGUGUAUAACAGAUAGAUAGGUCAUAGGUAGAGGAUAUAAAGUUAAGUACGAGUUCUUAAAACUCAUACUUAUGUGACAUACUUGAUUCAUAGUUAUAUGAAAUGUUUAUGAACCCCUCAGCGAACGAACGCCAAAGGUCAGACUCGGAUAAGUUCUUAAACUCAUAUGAUUGUGGCAAUUUAUGGACUCAUAAGUGUGGUUUGACGAACUAGGUAGAAUUGUGUGUAAUUGGAGUAUUAAGGAUAAUAAGAAUAGAUAGAUUGUUUAAGUAAAUGAUUAUUAGUGAAGAAUUAAGUUUUCCAAAACUCCUAACUAUGCUAGACUUUGAAAUUUUGACAUCAAGCUAAAUACGCACUAUGUGCUUUUAAAAAAAAAAAAAUAUGUAGACUCGUAAUCAUUUUUGAAACGGUUUAAAGUAUAGUCUAUGCUACUUAUUUCAGCUAGACGCAAACGAUUUGAAAUAUCAAAAUAAAUUUUAUUUAUCACUCAUGUACCAUGUAACCUGGUGCAGAGAUGAUAAAAAGUUGAUGGAAUUGUAAAUACAGGAAUACUUAGUGUGAAUUUGAUCUAAAAUCGUUAUUCCACUAUUGUAUGAUGUGUUAUGACAAAG